GAUGAAGAACGUAGCGAAAUGCGAUACUUGGUGUGAAUUGCAGAAUCCCGUGAACCAUCGAGUUUUUGAACGCAAGUUGCGCCCGAAGCCACUAGGCCGAGGGCACGCCUGCCUGGGCGUCACACGUCGUUGCCCCCCCAUCUACUCCUUCGGGAUUGCGGGGGGGCGGAUGAUGGCCUCCCGUGCGCCUAGCCGCGCGGUUGGCAUAAAUACCAAGUCCUCGGCGACGCACGCCACGACAAUCGGUGGUUGCGAAACCUCGGUUGCCCGUCGUGUGCGUUCGUCGCGCAUCGAGGGCUCGAAAAAAUGCUCGGCUUCGGCUCGGCUUUCAACGCGACCCCAGGUCAGGCGGGGUUACCCGCUGAAUUUAAGCAUAUCAAUAAGCGGAGGA
This 391-nucleotide unclassified non-coding RNA is filed under the name soil metagenome. Its description in RNAcentral is "partial contains 5.8S ribosomal RNA, internal transcribed spacer 2, and large subunit ribosomal RNA". The stretch from base 1 to 122 matches the Rfam family "5.8S ribosomal RNA", at positions 35 to 154 of the family's 154-position model. The record is from RNAcentral.